UGAUUAAGCCAUGCAAGUCGAGAGGGGUUCGGCCCUCGGCGUACUGCUCAGUAACACGUGGAUAACCUGCCCUAGGGAAGGGGAUAAUCCCGGGAAACUGGGGAUAAUACCCUAUAGGUUACAGAUGCUGGAAUGCUCUGUAAUCAAAAGUUCCGGCGCCCUAGGAUGGAUCUGCGGCCGAUUAGGUUGUUGUUGGGGUAAUGGCCCAACAAGCCAGUAAUCGGUACGGGUUGUGGGAGCAAGAGCCCGGAGUUGGAUUCUGAGACACGAAUCCAGGCCCUACGGGGCGCAGCAGGCGCGAAAACUUUACAAUGCGGGCAACCGUGAUAAGGGAACCUCGAGUGCCUGUAAAUGCAGGCUGUUCAGAUGCCUAAAACACAUCUGGAGAAAGGGCCGGGCAAGACCGGUGCCAGCCGCCGCGGUAAUACCGGCGGCUCGAGUGGUGGCCACUUUUAUUGGGCUUAAAGCGUUCGUAGCUGGGUUGUUAAGUCUCUUGGGAAAUCUGGCGGCUUAACCGUCAGGCGUCUAAGGGAUACUGGCAAUCUUGGAACCGGGAGAGGUGAGGGGUACUUCGGGGGUAGGAGUGAAAUCCUGUAAUCCUCGAGGGACCACCUGUGGCGAAGGCGCCUCACCAGAACGGCUUCGACAGUGAGGGACGAAAGCUGGGGGAGCAAACCGGAUUAGAUACCCGGGUAGUCCCAGCCGUAAACUAUGCGCGUUAGGUGUAUCGGUGACCACGAGUUACCGAGGUGCCGAAGGGAAACCGUGAAACGUGCCGCCUGGGAAGUACGGUCGCAAGGCUGAAACUUAAAGGAAUUGGCGGGGGAGCA
This 830-nucleotide ribosomal RNA is filed under the name uncultured archaeon. RNAcentral describes it as "bacterial SSU rRNA". It matches the Rfam family "Archaeal small subunit ribosomal RNA", at positions 41 to 878 of the family's 1478-position model. The record is from RNAcentral.